RNAcentral lists this ribosomal RNA (269 nucleotides) under uncultured bacterium. RNAcentral describes it as "partial 16S ribosomal RNA". It matches the Rfam family "Bacterial small subunit ribosomal RNA", at positions 793 to 1055 of the family's 1533-position model. The record is from RNAcentral.
GUCCACGCCGUAAACGAUGUCAACUAGGUGUUGGGAUGGUUAAUCGUCUCAUUGCCGCAGCUAACGCAUUAAGUUGACCGCCUGGGGAGUACGGUCGCAAGAUUAAAACUCAAAGGAAUUGACGGUGGCCCCGCACAAGCGGUGGAGUAUGUGGUUUAAUUCGACGCAACGCGCAGAACCUUACCUGGUCUUGACAUCCCGGGAAUCUUGUGGAAACACGAGAGUGCCUCGCAAGAGGAGCCUGGUGACAGGUGCUGCAUGGCUGUCGU